ACACGAUAGGUCGAAGAGUGGUGCAUGGCCGUUAACGACGAGUGGAGUGAUCUUUGGGUUAAGUCCGUAAAUUAGUGAGACCUCAGCCGUAAGGGACAGGUGCGCAAAGCACAGGAAGGAUGGGUCAAGGACAGGUCAGUGAUGCCCUUAGAUGGUCCGGGCUGCACGCGCACUACAGUGGUCGCCGAAAUUAGCUGAUAAUUUUAAAGGCGAUCGAGAGGGAAUGAGCUUUGUAAGAGGCUCAGGAACGAGGAAUUGCUAGUAAUCGCGGACUCAUUAAGACGCGAUGAAUACGUCCCUGUUCUUUGUACACACCGCCCGUCGUUAUCGAAGAUGAAGACAGGCGCGAACGAUCUACCAGAAAGUGAGCGCAGGUCUUUAGAUCUGAUACAAGUCGUAACAAGGUAGCUGUAGGUGAACCUGUAGCUGG
This 430-nucleotide ribosomal RNA is filed under the name Loma morhua. RNAcentral's name for it is "SSU rRNA". It matches the Rfam family "Microsporidia small subunit ribosomal RNA", at positions 881 to 1304 of the family's 1311-position model. Lineage: Eukaryota; Fungi; Microsporidia; Glugeidae. The record is from RNAcentral.